AAUCAACGCUGGCGGCGUGCCUAACACAUGCAAGUCGAACGCGAAAGCCCUUUCGGGGGUAAGUAGAGUGGCGUCCGGGUGAGUAACACGUAGGUAAUCUGCCUUCGGGUGGGGAAUAACCAGUCGAAAGAUUGGCUAAUACCGCAUAAUGCAGCGGCACCUAAUGGUGAUUAGUUGUUAAAGCGGGGGAUCGUAAGACCUCGCGCCUGAAGAGGAGCCUGCGGCAGAUUAGCUAGUGGUGAGGUAAUGGCUCACCAAGGCUUCGAUCUGUAGCUGGUCUGAGAGGACGGCCAGCCACACUGGCACUGACACGACGGGCCAGACUCCGUAC
This 331-nucleotide ribosomal RNA is filed under the name uncultured bacterium. RNAcentral describes it as "bacterial SSU rRNA". It matches the Rfam family "Bacterial small subunit ribosomal RNA", at positions 32 to 342 of the family's 1533-position model. The record is from RNAcentral.